AUGUUCACGACUUUCCAGGUGGACGAACAUACGUUCAAGGUGUGUUCUAUUUUGGGCAUGUCGGAUUCAGAACUUGAAGACCCGGACAAAGGAAGGAACUACUUCAUGAAAGCCUCGAUAAGCCAAGGUGAAUACUACUGCCAAUGCUGCAAAUUCGAACAGGACGGCAUUGCGUGCUGUCACAUACUAAAAGUAACGGACAUGAACGCGGUGACACGGAUGCCCCGCCAUUUCAUAAGGCGGCGAUGGACUUGGGACGCUGACGACGCAUUGGCACCGCAGACAUCAAACACAGUUUUGGCUAUGCAUGACGAGAGACCAGAGUCAACCAUGGAAGCCGUGCGACACAUUGUGUUAACAAAGAACUAUGCUAAACUAAUUGAUGAAGCGUGCAAGAGUGACGAGACAGUGAGGGUCGCAGAAAAACACAGGAAGGCCCUGAAAAGAGAGCUUAAUGAGAUCAAGAAGAGGAAAGCUGAGGAAGCCUUACACAGGUUCCCCCGCACAUCAAGUGUGCCUUCGUCCAUGGGGCCAUCGUCUGAAAACUCGGAGGUAGGAUCUGGAACAGCAAGCACACAAACCCAAGUCACGAACCCGCCCUGUUCCAUCACAAAGGGGCAUCCAAAAGAGAUAAGAUACAAAUCGGGAUUGGAGAUUCAAGCAAAACACAAGAAAACAAAGAAAGGGGUGGGCAAUCCGUAA
RNAcentral lists this ribosomal RNA (702 nucleotides) under Triticum aestivum (bread wheat). Its description in RNAcentral is "partial small subunit ribosomal RNA". The record is from RNAcentral. Lineage: Eukaryota; Viridiplantae; Streptophyta; Magnoliopsida; Poales; Poaceae.